RNAcentral lists this ribosomal RNA (194 nucleotides) under uncultured Nitrosomonas sp. RNAcentral's name for it is "partial 16S ribosomal RNA". It matches the Rfam family "Bacterial small subunit ribosomal RNA", at positions 338 to 524 of the family's 1533-position model. Lineage: Bacteria; Pseudomonadati; Pseudomonadota; Betaproteobacteria; Nitrosomonadales; Nitrosomonadaceae. The record is from RNAcentral.
CCUACGGGAGGCAGCAGUGGGGAAUUUUGGACAAUGGGCGCAAGCCUGAUCCAGCAAUGCCGCGUGAGGGAAGAAGGCCUUCGGGUUGUAAAGCUCUUUCAGUUGAGAAGAAAAGAUUGUGACUAAUAAUUGCAAUUCAUGACGGUAUCAACAGAAGAAGCACCGGCUAACUACGUGCCAGCAGCCGCGGUAAU